AAAACAUGUCUUUUUGAGUUAUUUUUAAAGUCUGACCUGCCCACUGAAAUUUUAAAUGGCCGCAGUAUUCUAACUGUGCAAAGGUAGCAUAAUCAUUAGUCUUUUAAUUGAAGGCUGGUAUGAACGGUUGGACGAGGUAUAAGCUGUUUCAUAUAAAUUUAUAAUAGAAUUUUAUAUUUUAGUCAAAAAGCUAAAAUUUUGUUAAAAGACGAGAAGACCCUAUAAAUCUUUAUAUUUUAUUAUAUCUAAAUUUUUUGGAUUAAGUUUAUUUUUAUAUGGUAAAAUAUUUUGUUGGGGUGAUGUUAAAAUUUAAUGAACUUUUAAUUUUUAAAAAUCAUUAAUUUAUGAUUUAUUGAUCCAUUAAUAGUGAUUAUAAGAUUAAGUUACUUUAGGGAUAACAGCGUAAUUUUUUUGGAGAGUUCAUAUCGAUAAAAAAGUUUGCGACCUCGAUGUUGGAUUAAGAUAUAAUUUUAGGUGUAGCCG
RNAcentral lists this ribosomal RNA (483 nucleotides) under Zeugodacus strigifinis. RNAcentral's name for it is "partial large subunit ribosomal RNA". It matches the Rfam family "Bacterial large subunit ribosomal RNA", at positions 1810 to 2561 of the family's 2925-position model. Lineage: Eukaryota; Metazoa; Arthropoda; Insecta; Diptera; Tephritidae. The record is from RNAcentral.